GUCAUUGUUAUCAUCCUCGUUGUGGCGCUGUUGAUAUAUCGAGCCAGUCGUUAUAGCGCAACGUUAGACCAAAAACAAGAGAGAGCUCCAAACCAAGGGGCGCAACCCAGUGGCCAAUACAUGAAUCAAAACGAGGAGACUCGGAUCAGACGACAAGCGAGGGAGCUUGCGAAUUACAAUGAAUUAAGGCAAACUCAAGAAUAUCAACACGCUUACGAGGCAACAAACAUGUCUGAUACAGACACAGGAUAUGAUGAAAGCGAUUCGUCAUCAAAACACAAUUCACGGGCUUCUACUUACGACACUAUAGACAAAUAUUAAGUGUAUUUUCUCGUUACAUCAAGUACAAAAUAAUCGCUUUGUUUGUGACUUUGUCUUUUUAAUUGGAGAUUUUCAGAAUAAAUAAAAUAAUGUCCAAGUCGCUCAAUUGAGAAUCAAAAUGUUCAGCAAAGUAAAAGCUACAAACAGAAGAACUUAAAAAUAAAUACUUGAUUUUUCAACAUUUGCUUUGUAUCGUACUCCGGAUACACCAAGAAAUCUUGCUAUUUAUAGGUCUUCCGUCAUGUAGGGAAAUCUCCAAUAUUUAGAAAAUAAAAAACGACGUAACUCAUCCUUGUAAAAUUUGUUUGUUUAUUAAACAUUGUUCGAUAUUUC
Molecule: long non-coding RNA, 654 nt
Organism: Biomphalaria glabrata
Lineage: Eukaryota; Metazoa; Mollusca; Gastropoda; Planorbidae
Exons: 2
Source: RefSeq, a predicted model, not a curated record